Molecule: long non-coding RNA, 320 nt
Filed under: Brassica napus (rape)
Lineage: Eukaryota; Viridiplantae; Streptophyta; Magnoliopsida; Brassicales; Brassicaceae
Description: long non-coding RNA (BNAP_LNC003588)
Source: RNAcentral
CUUUAUUAGUAUGAAAUUAUAUUCUAGGGCAUAAGUUAUUGCAGAGUAUGAAAAAAUUUACAGAAAAUGCGAAUAGUUAGUUGCCAUAGUGUAAGUGACAAAGUGAGACAGCUCAUUUUAUGCUUCCCUAUUUAGAAAUUCCCCACUGGCCCAAGCAAACACCUCUCUUCUCAUUGGAGACUCAAAUCCUAUUUCCUCGCCACAUCCAAUAACCACCACACACACAUACCAAUAUCUAAAUAAUAAUAUUAAAUUUCUUUCUUUCUAAAUAUAACCACUUAAGAAACCCCGUCAUAUUUGAUAAUAUUAUUAAAUAAUAG